Non-coding RNA from Pelobates cultripes (western spadefoot toad), 493 nucleotides. Lineage: Eukaryota; Metazoa; Chordata; Amphibia; Anura; Pelobatidae. The record is from the annotation of a GenBank genome assembly.
GGAGCAACAAGAGGAGCACUGCCAGAGUCCUGCAAAAUGACCUCCAGCAGGCCAAAAAUGUGCACGUGUCUGCUCAAAUGGUCAGAAACAGACUCCAUGAGUGAAAUGAGGGCUUGACGUCCACAGGUAGGGGUUGUGCUUACAGCCCAACACCGUGCAGGAUGUUUGGCAUUUACCAGAGAACACUAAGAUUGGCAAAUUCGCCACUGGCACAAAGCAGGUUCACACUGAGCUCAUGUGACAGACGUGACAGAGUCUGGAGACGCCGCGGAGAACGUUCUGCUGCCUGCAACAUCCUCCAGCAUGAACGGUUUGGCAGUGGGUAAGUAAUGGUGUGAGGUGACAUUUCUUUGGGGGGCCGCACAGCCCUCAAAAUGCUCGCCAGAGGUAGCCUGACUGCCAUUAGGUACCGAGAUGAGAUCCUCAGACCCCUUUUGAGACCAUAUGCUGGUGCGGUUGGCCCUGGGUUCCUCCUAAUGCAAGAAAAUGCUAG